This 400-nucleotide ribosomal RNA is filed under the name uncultured bacterium. RNAcentral describes it as "bacterial SSU rRNA". It matches the Rfam family "Bacterial small subunit ribosomal RNA", at positions 356 to 773 of the family's 1533-position model. The record is from RNAcentral.
GGGGGAUAUUGCACAAUGGGGGAAACCCUGAUGCAGCGACGCCGCGUGGAGGAAGAAGGUUUUCGGAUUGUAAACUCCUGUCGUUAGGGACGAUAAUGACGGUACCUAACAAGAAAGCACCGGCUAACUACGUGCCAGCAGCCGCGGUAAAACGUAGGGUGCAAGCGUUGUCCGGAAUUACUGGGUGUAAAGGGAGCGCAGGCGGACCGGCAAGUUGGAAGUGAAAACCAUGGGCUCAACCCGUGAAUUGCUUUCAAAACUGCUGGCCUUGAGUAGUGCAGAGGUAGGUGGAAUUCCCGGUGUAGCGGUGGAAUGCGUAGAUAUCGGGAGGAACACCAGUGGCGAAGGCGACCUACUGGGCACCAACUGACGCUGAGGCUCGAAAGCAUGGGUAGCAAAC